Molecule: long non-coding RNA, 37090 nt
Filed under: Gossypium barbadense (sea-island cotton)
Lineage: Eukaryota; Viridiplantae; Streptophyta; Magnoliopsida; Malvales; Malvaceae
Description: long non-coding RNA (GBAR_LNC021840)
Source: RNAcentral
UGCCCAAUUGCCUCCAAUAAGGUGUGUUUGAUACUAUUUCGUCACAAUUAUCCUUCUGGAUUACAUUCAAAAUCAUUUUGGGCAACGCAAAAGCGUCCUAUGCGUUUUGGCUGGAGCAUGAGGCAUCGCUAAAGAAGAAGUAACUACCCUGGACACUAGGUAUUUAGUAUACAAAGGUGGGUUUAAAAGUAAAUAAUAAAAUAUAUAAUUUAAAAAGAUAAAAAAUAAUAAUUUAAAUUAUGAGUAAAACGAAAUAUAAAUAUAUAUAUAUUCUUAAUAAUCAUUUUCUAAUUUAAUCAUUGCAAAAUCUUAAUAUCACAUCAUCUCAAAACUAAUAUCUCAUCAAAAUUAAUCUUACCGUAAUAAUAAUAUUCCACACUAUAUGCAUUGUGAGUAAUAAAAUAUUUUAUAUAAUUUAAUUAUUAUAAUAAAAAUAAAUUCAAUCAGUCAGCAAAAACUAUAAAUUCUUCAACCUCAGACGCCAAUUUAUGGAAUUUAAUUAUGAAAGAUUAACAUUUUUUUCAAAUUCAAUUAAUUAAAAUUUUAGCUUGAGCUCGACUCUAUCAAGAAAGAACAAAGAUGUAGAUGUAAGCAUUUUUAUUUUAUGGGAAACAUCACUUCCUUGAAAAUCAGCUGACCAUAUUUACGACCCUAGCUCCUCGCUCUAUGGAUUUUUAGUCAAAUUUGAUAGUCAUUUUCUUCUAUGAUAUGAACCAUACCAAGGGUUUGAUUUGAAUUAAGACGACCAUCUUUCACGAUUUCGAGCUCGACCCAUUUCGAUUCUCGGUAUACCCAGACCCGAACCGUAUUAAAACGAUGUUUCUUUUGGAUUGGUUCUACGGUGUUCUUGCUUCCCUUGGUCUAUGGCAGAAAGAGGCUAAGAUCUUGUUUCUCGGUCUCGAUAACGCCGGCAAAACCACUUUGCUUCAUAUGUUGAAAGACGAGGUUCGUUUUCCCAUUUCGCUCUGUUCUUUUUUUUAAAAAAAUAAGUUUAUAUGAUUUUGAAUCUCUGAAUCAAUUUCCAUCGCUUUUGUUAGUCUAAUUUUUUCCAGGUUUAUAUGAUUGGUUAACUAAUUGAGAAAUUUGAGUUUCUUUUCUAAUUGGGAAAUGAGGAAAAUUUUGAUGUUUGAUUAUUGCUGAACUGUUUUGCAGAGAUUGGUUCAACAUCAACCAACUCAGUAUCCCACAUCGGAAGAGCUUAAUAUUGGGAAAAUCAAGUUCAAAGCUUUUGAUCUGGGUGGUCAUCAGAUUGCUCGUCGAGUCUGGAAAGAUUACUAUGCUAAGGUAGCUUAAAAGCUCAAAGUAAAUGCUUUUCACUAACAUGAUGGUUAUUAGUUUUAGUGAUACAGCAUUCACUGAAUCUGUUUCCUUACAAUUUCAAUUGGCUGCAAUUCUUAGUCAUUUGUUUUCAGAGUUUUUAAUCUCUUGUUUUUCCAUUUUCAUAUCAUUUUUUAAUUGGUAGAUUUUGGUAUAUUUUUGUCAUUGUUUGGUAAUUUAUACUUGCUUUCUUCACUAUGAAAAUAGGCUUCAAGAAAUCAUUUAUUGUCAGGAGUUUAACCAUCAUUAUUUAUAUGUUGUUUUCUUUCUGAUUAUAUCAUUAUCAUUUUGUUUUCCUGUCACCCAUUCUGCUUUUGCUUUUCUCUUUGAUUACUAUUUUUCAUAUAAAUGCACCCGAGCUAUCUUCAUGUACAGUCUAAUAGUCAAUGGAAUUUUACUGUCUCGUGAUGCAUGAGAAACCAAAGAAGAAUAUCUCUAACAUACUUUUAUAUGCUAAUAUCUUUAUUAUUUCAUGGCCAUAAAUUUUCUGUAGGGAUGGCCAUAAAAGCUUAUUUAUUACAUAUGUAUUACAAUAGUUAGACAUAAAAUAAAGAAUAGUUAGUACAAAUUUAAACUUGAAAUUAAAACGAUAAGUAAAACUCUAGUAAAAAAUAAGACUUUCAAAAUCAGCGAAAAAUUUUCCUCCUCUUUCCCCAAAACAAGCCAUGUGAGUGGCUAAAAAUUACUAAUUGAAAUUAGUUUAUUGGUAACUUAAAUACUAAAACAUGGUGAAAAAAUAAUACUCCCACCAAUUGUAGCAUAAAUGAUAUGUUUAGCAGAUUGACUUAUUUCUCUAGUUGUUUAGGUUGAACACGGGUCUUGUACAGUAAUGGAAAGCCUGAACUCUGGUUAUCCAAUCUGUAAGUAGUUGGCUUUUUGUCUUCUAUAAAAGUGUGUCUUCUUAAUAUUUUAUUCUGCAUAGUGACCAAGUAUUAUCUGUGGAGCUGUAGCUUUCUACAACCUAGUAGCUUGCUGUUGGUUGCUCCUCGCUGGGGCGUGAGGUGGUUUUCUUUCCUUAUUUCUGCUCAAUGAUUUAUUUUUGCGCCAAAACAAGCCUCACCGUGGGCAAUGUCUACCUGGGUGCUCAAUAAGGUGAUCUUGAAUUGCUGGCUGGAAGUUCAAUGUCAUAUGGUAGAAGUGUUGUGCACGGUUCUAUCAACCAUGGUCAAUGCUUUCAAGCAACAUGGGAUUUUUCUGUUUUAGCUUUUAGUACAUUCAGGAGAUCCAAUUAUACCUUUUUCUCAUUUUGAUUGGUUUUCUAUUGUACCUUGUUCUUAUCGUUUCUUGUUAUAAGCUAUAUAUUGUUUGCCUUGUCUCGAGUGUUUUACUUUGAGUUGUGCAUUUCUGGGUCAAGGUUGAUGCUAUGGUGUACCUGGUAGAUGCCUAUGAUAAAGAAAGGUUUGCAGAAUCAAAGAAGGAACUGGAUGCACUCCUUUCCGAUGAGGCCCUUGCCAAUGUCCCGUUUCUUAUACUAGGAAACAAGAUCGAUAUACCAUACGCUGCCUCAGAGGACGAGUUACGAUACCAUCUCGGGCUCACAAACUUUACCACCGGCAAGGGUAAGGUAAACCUGGCAGACUCAAACGUCCGUCCACUAGAAGUAUUUAUGUGCAGCAUCGUCCGCAAAAUGGGUUACGGCAAUGGCUUCAAGUGGAUGUCUCAAUAUAUCAAAUAGAGAAAAUGGUCUCAAAGAUGCAGUAGGAAAGAUCUUACAGGGUGCCAAACCCCAAAUUCCAUAACUCCCAACUUCAAGGGGGGGGGGGGGACAAAGAAACUGUAUUCAUCAAACUGUUAGAAACUUAGCCCCUAAGUGGGUUUUAAAUUGGAUGUAUUUGGUUUUGAAUUUGUGUGAUAGGGAGGUACUCAUAUCCCUCCUCACUCCCCUUUUUUUCCAUGUCUUGAAGAAGGUGGCUACCAGAACUAGAAAAUGGCAAGUUAGAUUUCGCUGUGAACUUUGGCCAUUCAAACAUAGUAAGAUAAUUCAAAGGGUCUAAUUAUGGUUCUGGUCUGUCUGGAUUUAAUCUAUCUACUUUAACUUAAUAUAAUUUGAUCUUAUUAAUAGGUCUAAAUUGUUUACACCAUUAGUUGUUAUCAUUAAAGUUAUGAUUUGUUUUCCUGUCAUUCGAUUAUGUAAUGAGGGGCAAACUCAUGCCCACUAGAGGUGAGUUUGUUUGGUUCGGUUUGCUUGUAUUUUUUUUAAUUUUUAGACUCAUUUUGACAAAAUAAAUUUUAUUUUGUGGAUAUUAGACAUUAUUUAAUAAAGUUCUUCAAAUUCUUUUUCAUAAAAUUUUUAACUAAAUAGAAAAGAGGUAAUCAACAACUAUUUUAGAAAAAUAUAUAAGAAUUUUAAAUUGUUUUCAUUAAUUUAAAUAUAAAAUAUUUAUAUUUACAUGAUAAAAAUAUAAUUAAUUAGAAAUUAAAUAAUAAUAAUUCAAUUUGGGUUUAACUUGCAUUUUAAAAACCGUUGAUUUUAAGUUUACUGAUGUCUUCUUGGUCAACCCUAACGCCCACAGGCUACACUGGCAUGAGCAUAGCCCACAAGUACCCUUUGUUUCAACCACGCUGCAACUAGCACACAGCUCACAAUAUAUUAAUAAUCCGAGACUGAGUCUCCCCUGCAAAGUCUGAAACUUAAAUCACACGUCCACUUUCACCGCCAUUGUUUACCAUCUUCUUGUCAACUCCCUUUACGUGUCCCUUCUUUUCAAUAAUUAAACAAUUCAUUCUUUGACUCAUCCGCCUCCUUCCAUAAUAUAUAUACCCAUGCACCCUCCACUACUCACUUUCAAGUCUCCCCAAUAUAUUCUCCUUUUAACUUCUUUACGUAAACCACUUCCUUUCGCAGAGUUAAUAACUUUCAACUUACAUGGGAAACAUUACCUUUAGCUGCUUCGUUCCGAACAGUAAAGAAAUGGCUAAAAUAAUCGACGCUCGAGGGAACCUUAAGAAAGUUAAGCUGCCAGUAACGGCGGUGGAGGUGAUGAUUGAAGAACCAGGUCAUGUCAUCUCUGCCAUGGAAGAGUUAAAACGAAGUCGUUCCGUGGUGGCCAUGCGAGCUGAGGAUGAACUUUUGGUAGGUAAAGUUUAUGUUUUGGUUCCCAUAGGAAGGGUUCAUUGCAAGGUUACGGAUAUGGAUGUAGCAAUUAUGGAAGCAGCUUGUAAUGGAAAGAAGAGGAGAAAAAGUGGUGGUGCAAAGGUUUCACCGUAUGCGGCGGUGGUGGAAGAGGGUUACGUUCAAGUUCGUGCUCCUCGUGGCUGCCGAUUGGGGAGUUACAGGCGGUGGACUCCUGUAUUGGAAUCAAUUUCUGAAGUGAUUUGAGGAAUAUAAUGAACAUCAUUCUUUCAUUGUUUUAUGUAAUUAAACAAUAGAAUUAGUUUCAUUUGAUGAAAGCGGCGGUGCGUAUAUUGCAAUUAGCAUGCGCAGACAAAUUUUGUGUUGAAUUUUAUGAGAAAAAGUUGGAUACUAAUUAAAAUUGUACUUAAUGAAUUUUGACAUACUAUCAUAUUUUUGAAACUUGAUGCAAGAUAGAUUGUAGAAAGUUGAUGGAAGAUAGAUGUAGUCUCACUUCACGGGCGGUUGAGAUUUAAUUUUGAAAAUGUUAAUAAACUUUAGUUAAAUUAUUGUUUAGAAAUGUAGCCUGCUUCAAGGAUCGUCAAGACUUUGUUUUGAAGUUAUAACUGAUCACUUUUGUGUUGGUGCAACUAGAGAGAGAGUUUGGUUCAAGACUCUUUAAGAUUUGAUUUUGAACGAUUGAGUCCAAUUCAAAGGUUGAGACUUGAUCUUGACAUUAAAAUCAAUCGAUGAACUAAGAUCGAAGACAAGGUUUCUGAGGAGUGGCAUAGAAUUUUCCAGAAUUUUUUCAAAUUCACUUCAUAGGCCUCUUCGAAUUUUAAAGAGAACUUCGAUAUUUAAAACCUUCUCUUUGAGCUUUUAAAUUCUACACUUGAAUUUAUGUUGAAUGGCUUGAAAGUAACCCUUUUAAUAAUGCUAGUGAGUAGUGAGUCAAGAAAAAUAGACAUAUUAUUAUAGAAUAUGGUUUCUUUUUUCUCUUAAAUAAUUUAAUUUAAUAAGAAAUAAAUUAUAUAAAAAUUUAAAAAAUUGUAUGCAAGUAUUUUUUUAUGAAUGGUUUAAGCUCUUGAUUAAAAACAUCAUAGUUUGGAUGAAUAGUUUAAGCUUGCGCUUAAGAGCAUUUUUUUUUUGAAGUGGCUUAACAAUGUCAUCAUUUUUGGGGAUAAAAAGUUUAAGCUUGUGUUUAAGAGUAUCCUCAUUUUCCUUGAAUUUACAAUUUAUGCUCAUGUGUAGUAGAAAUAAGCAAUUAAGGUUUGUACUUAGGAGUACCAUUUUUUUGAAUGAAUAGUUUAGGCUUGUUUUAAGGACAUCAUUUCAAAUAAACAAUUUAAGCUAUGUUUAAGCGUUUGUACCUAGGAGUAAUGCUUUUUAUUAACCUUUUCAACAUACCAAAAAGCCCAACCAUGACACUUUUGAUACUUUUAAAGAAUACAAUUGCUUCCAUUCCCUUAGUUAUCCAUCAAUUUAUUUACGUUUGGAGUCAGUGUGAUAAAGAUUAAAGGAGCCAAACUUUUUGGUUCUAUCAAACAUAAGGUUGAGAGAAAUCAUGAUGACUGAUGUCAAAUUUGACGACACUUCUUAUUCUUCAAACUAUUCUUUUUCAAUUCGCAUGAUUUUUUUUCCAAAAUAAAGCACUUUUUAAUAGGGUAACUAAAUAAGCGAUAAUACUUGCAAUUGUGAGAUAAUCUACUCUAUCAAAUUCUUCAAUUCAUUUUUUGGCAACUAAAUCAACUUAGACUUUAAGAGUUCGUCACGUAUACUUGGAACAUCAGAAUGAAGGAAAGGGUAAUUCUUUUUCUUGCCUCUCAUUCGUUGUGACUUUUCCAUUACCAUUGAUUUUGACAGAAAAACAAUUUUAUAUUCAAAGUCAUUACUGAUCAAUAUAUUUAUUAUCAUCGAAGAUUUUCCCUUGUGUAUUUUGGCGAGGCUCUUGAUACUUAGCAAUUGUCAUACACAUAUCUAUGUUGUGAACUCGAGUAUUUAAUUCUUCAAAGGAUUUCGACUUGAUGUCUUGGAGAAUGUAACACAAGCCCCAAUUCAUGUCUUAUAGACACUUGUCAAUUAUUGAACGAAUGGCUUCAAUAAGAGAUCUCAAUCAGUGCUAGUCUUAUUGCAUGUUUUCACAAAGUGUGCAACAUGUUCACAUAGAUUUUAUUUGCCAUUGAACUAUUGAAACUUUGGAAGUUGAUAAUUUUUAGGCAUACUCAAACAAUCAAUCCUUCAAGAACAUGACUUUACAUGUGUAUGAAGGUUGAGCAGCACUUCUAGCUUUAUCUUUUAUGGCUUUCUUUACGAGCUUCCUAAGUUGAUCUAAAGAAACAUUGUGAAGCCUUUUUUCAACAACCUUGUUAGAAAUUUCACCAACUACUUAAAGAAUUUGAUUUUGAGUUUCGCCUGUAACAGUUAAUUGUUUCCAUCUAAACUUUCAAUUUAUACCAUCAUGAAAGCAAUUUGAUUAUCCCAUCAUUUGAUGCUUGAUGCAAUGGAUUCCAUAGCCUUUGUAAGAGAAAUCGUUUUUUCUUUAAAGGAAAGUAAUACUAGUUGUCAUCAUAAAUAACGACCUAGUUUUCAGUGGUGUCGAAAAAUGCAGUUUUGGGAUCUCAUUUCCAUAAACCAUGUAUGUAAAUAUUAAAUAAGAAUAUUUAUGGAGUUAAAGUAUUGAUGAAUUGUAAUUUGGGAUGUGAUGUUAAUUACCAUUAGAUUAAAGUAAUUAAAGAUUAAUGAUUAAUUAAUUAUGAUUAAGUUAAUUAAUUAAGUUUAAUUAAAACUAAACCAACUAUAUAUACCUAACAUAGUGGAAAAAGAUGAUGAAGCAUCAUCUUGUUCAUGUUUUUACCACCGUCCACCCUAAAAGCCAUUGGAGAAAGCUUUUGAAAAGCUUUAUACAUUUGCCCACCAUUUUUAGGUAAGUCCCUAGCCAUUUUCAUUAAUUUUAUAGAUUUGAGAUUGUGGAAGCUUAAUUUAGCUAGACCAUGUACUAAUUUGUAAAAUAGUUAAAGUUUUUAAAGUUAUCAUUGUUGAGAAAUGAAUGAAAUUGGUGUGAAAUUGUUAGAAAUUAAGCUUAGUAUAUACAAAGGACUAAAUUGUAAAUUUUAAUUGUAAGUUUCAUACAUUAGGGACCAAAUUGAAUAAAAUGAAAAAUAUCAUGAACUUUUGGUGGGAUAGAAAAUAGAAGGUCCCUAAUGAGUCAUGGUGAAACUGGAUUAGAGGCCCUAAAUUGAAAGUUAUGCUUAUCCUAAUUUUAGGGAAUAUAUUGCAAAAUCUGUGUAAUUUGGUAUUUGAUUAUGAUUUGGCUGGAAAUUGAUUAUAUGAUAUGUUUUAUGAUUAUUUGUAGCUAAUAACAACACCAAAUAGUCGGUAGGGAAAGGAAAAGUGAAAACCAUCAACGAAUGAUGCACGAAACCUCAGUUUGUACUUUUAUGAUUUAGGAUAGAAAUAUUUAAUUUUAUAUGCAUGUUUAUUGAUUGUUGAAUCAUUUAGGUGAUUCUAUUAUGAUAAUAUGAAAUAUUUUCAUUCAAUUUGAUAUGGAACAUUAAGAUACAGGACUAAAAUGAAUAAAGGGAAAUGAUAUGAAAUACUUAAAUUAUGAUAUGUGAUAUGAAAAUUAUAUCGAAAUAUAUCUUAUAAUAUGGAAUAUGUGUGUUUGAUGAUGAAAUAGGGUUGUGAUUGUGAAUUUUACUAAGAAUCGAUCUAUGUACUAAAUUGCAAAAUAAUUGUUAUGUAAUAGAACAGUGUACAGGAUACAAAAAUGCAUAUAUGACCGAAUACAGGGUAUGAAUAUGAGAGCAAGAUGAUUACAUGUAUGAAAAUUCUUAUAUAUAUAAUUGGUGUCCAUGUAAACUUUAUAAAAGGUUAGGAUAUGAUUGACAUACUAAUAGGGUUUUUAUGUGCGCUUAUACCAAAUAUGUGAUUAUACAGAUAUCAUUACAGAUUAUAUCGGGAUCCAUCAUUUGUUGUAGAUCAUCGAGUAUUAUAUGUCUCUACGGAGGCCCUGGCAUGGUGUAGUUAAAGCUCUUAUGAGCUAUCUUGUAACAACCCAAAAGUCAAUGGUGUCGGAAACAGUGAUUUUAGAACCACAUUUUCGAUCAUCGAGUCCAUAAAUAUUAUUAUUUGAUAUGUACAAGGUUAGUAUAAAGUCUAAUUGAAAUUUGGCCCUCUAAUUUUGUUAAUUGGAUAGUUAAUUAAUGUAUAAUAACUCAAUUGUAAAAGUGGUAAAAGUUAAUCGCUAUGGAAUUUUAAUUAAUUGAAGGACCAAUUAAGCAUUUUAACCCUUUUUAAUAUAGUGGACGACAAAUUGAUUAAUCAAGUUUAGUAUUAGUUAAUUUUUGUUAAUUAAGUUAAGAUUAAUUAGUUAAUUAUUAAACUAAAUAUAUAAGUUAAAAUUAGGUAAAAACAAACCAUUUUCAUGUCACCUUUUCUCCACCAAAAUAUAGAAAAGAGAAUAAGGUUUUUAAGCUCUCAAGCGUUCUAUCAUCUAAUUCGGUAAGCUGACAACUCCUUUUUUUUCAUAAUUUUUAUGUUUUUGAAGUCUUGAGAGCUUGAUUUAGCUAGCCCAUGUACCAAUUUGUAAAACUGUUAAAAUUUUUAAAAUUUUUCAUUUUUUUCUUGAAUAUUUUAGUAAUAAAUUUUUAGAUUUUAAGCUUAGAUAUGAAAAAGGAUAAAUUUGUAAACUGAAAAUUGUUAAUUUUGAACAUAGGGACUAAAGUGUAAAUAUUUUAAAAUUGACAUGAAAUUUCUAUAAUUAUAGAUAAUAUAGGGCUAUCAAAGGAUGAAAUUGAGAAUUAUUUCAAAAUCAAAGUUCAAAUUUGAAAGUUUUGGUAAUUUUGGUUUUAGGGAUUAAAUUGAAUAAAAUGAAAAAAAUUUGGGGUAUUAUAAUAAUGAAAUUGAGUUGAUAUAUGCUUAUAAUAGGAUGAAAUAAGAGGGUUGGAAUUGAUAAAUUGAAUUUAAUUAUUGAAUAGAUUAGAAAUUUGACCAAAUCAAAGAUAACAUAAAAAAUAACAAAAUUUGUUGAUUAGUCCUUAGAGAGUUGUUUGUUGUUGUUUUGACCAGGUAAGUUCAUAUGGUAUGAUUGCAUAUAUAUUUAUAUAUAUUUUUAAAUUAUGAAUUUGAAUAUUUUUUAUAGUAAUUUGAAUUGUUUGCAAUUUGGUACAAAAGGUAAUAUAUGGACUAAAUUGUAAAGAAAAUGAUAAAUUAACUGAUAAAUUAAAUAUGUUGAAUUGAAAUGUGAAAUAUUAAUGAACUAAUAGUUGAUUAUGACUGAUCAAAUCAUAAUGGUAUGAAUUUGACUGAUUAUCGAGAUAGAGGAUUAAAUUGAAAAGAAUUAAAAAUAGUGUAAUUCGAUGAAAUUAUGGAAUUGAUCUUGAAUUGGUUUGAAAUAGGAUAUGCUAAGUGAUAAACUGAUUAUUUGGGAUAUGAAUUGAAUUGUUUAAAUGGAAUUUAACAAUAAGAUGAUUAAAUAAAAGGUUACCUAUUAAUUAUUCAAGUAGAGUUAGAUAUAGUUGGCAUAUCAUAGAAUAAGUCGAGUACGGGUUACUUCGAAUACGAGUCGACAAGUUUUUGGCACAUUUAUACUUUAGUUAUACCGAUGAGACACUGUGUGCCAAACAUAUUGACUAGCGUUGGACGUAAACUAUUUACUUCAGCAUUGUUUGAUGAAGCACUAGGUGCCAAAGUGAUGUGAUUGGUUAGAUCCAUGUAUUCGCCCUAGUCAGGUUAAUAGCGAUAUAAAAUGUAAAUUGGAUAAAAUAUACUCAAAUUGAAUUGAUAUUAUGAUUUGAUGAUCUAUAUAUACAUUGUGAUAUACGAAUAUCGAUAGCAUGUGAAAGAUCAUACAAACUGAUUAUACGAGCCCGGAGGGUCGAUAUGAAAUGUGACGAAUCAAUGAAUUUGGUUCAGAAUUCGAAUAAUGAAACAAAAUAGUGAAUGUCAUUAUAUUUAAAUUGAAUGUAUUGUUGAUAAUAGAUAAAAAAAUUGUAUGAAAUUGAUAUUGAAUUGAAUAAAUGUUGGUUAUAAGUGAUUGAGAAUGUUAUAAUAAGAUGUUAUAUAUGUUGAUACUCACCUUGUUGAUAUGUGAUUGUCAUGUCUAGGAAAACCCAUAAAGCUAGUAUUUUACGGAAUUAAGGUGUAAUUUUAAGUAAGUUUUUUGUUUAAAUACCUGUGAACUUAUUAAGCAUUCGGUACGCUUACCCCAUUGUUUCCCUUUUCCCUGUAGAUCGCCAACUUGCGGAACGUGUCUAGCAAAUAGUCGAGGAGCUCACACUAUCUUGUUAAUGAUUCGAUAGUCUUUCUAUCGUUUAAAGCUCCAUUUUUUGGCAUGUACAUAGGUGUUAUAAAAAUUUAGAGUUUAAAUGUUGGUAUAGUUGAAACUGACCUAAAGUCUAAUUAAUUGGUUGUUUCAUAGAUUGAAAUGCCAAGACAAAAAGGUAUUGCUGAUGUCUAAUGGCUUGAUUGAACUUGGGAAUGGUUAGUUGUAUGUUUGGUAAAUAGAUGAAAUUGGUAUGUUGUAACGCCCCGAAAUUUGGGUCUAGAAGUAUUGGGCCUUGAGCAAGGGAACGGUUAGGAAACUGUGCACAAAAGUAUGUCUGCUUUAGUGGUUUAGGGUCCUGAGAGGAGUUGGAAAAGUCUUGGGUUCAAACCUGAGCUUUAGCAAAAAUUUUGGUUUUAAGUGGAUAAAAUCUUGGAUGCUUGGAUGUAGGCCUUUUAAAUUAUUGUGUUAAAAGAAUGACAUAAGGAAGCAUGUGGUUUAGUGGUUGUGGCAUCAUUAAGGUUGCAAGGGGGCUUAGGUUCAAGUCUUGGCUCUUGCAAUUUAUUUUGGUUUUUCUUUUAAAGGAACCUGGACUUUGGCCUUUAGACCUUUUAAUUAAUUGCAGAUAAAAUGUGACACAAAAAGAGCUUGUGGUAAAGAGACAAGUGGUGUGAAUUGGUUGAUGCAAGAAUUUUUGUUCAAACUUUUUGGCAUGCAAAGAGUAUUUAUUUUAUUUCCCUGCAGCUUGAGAAGUGGAGUUAGACUAAAACUCUACAAUGUGAAGUUUGAAUUGGUCUUGGAGUUGUUAUGGAGGAUAUCAAGGAAGGAUGUGUAGAGAUUUUCAAUGAGUUUGAAGAGGGAGGAGAGUAGUGGCCGAAUAGGAUUUAAAGCCUUAAAAAAUUCGUCCUAAGGGGUUUUUUCUCAGUUUUGGUUAGUUUGUCAUCAGUUUUUGAAAUUGUGAAGGCUCUUUUCUUUCGCUGCUCUCUUGUGCUGAAUUUGCAAGUGGCCAUUUGUGCAUUUUGGGUAUUCGACUCCUACCAUUCUGGUAAAUUAAACUAUUUUGUUUUCAAGUCCAUUCCUCUCCCCAUCUUUUGCACCAACAUCUGUCGAAACCUCAUCUUCUUCUUCUCUAUUCUUUUUUAUGUUCGGCCAACUGCUUGUUUCAUCCCUUCUUGCCUAUUGAUUCUUUCGGCCAAAUCUAUCGCCUUAGCCCUUGGGAUUCUUCCUCAUUUUCGGCUUGUAACCGAAAGUUCCCCCCUUUUUCGAUUCAGAUUCUUCUCUUCUUCAGGUGGUUCUUACUCUAGCUGAAACUCAACACUGUCCCCUUUCUGUUUCUGUUCCGCAAGUAUUUCUGACGAGGCGGUAAAUGGUUGUAUUCCCUCCUUCCAUUCAAAUCUAGGUUCUUUAAACUUUUCUAAAAGCCGAGUAUUUUUUUGGUUGAGAAGAUGGUAUUCAUGGAUUUAAGCCACAUUUUCAAUCGACCCUAGCUAACAAGAUCUGUUUAUAAUUCAAAUUCUCGACAAGGCGUGUGAUCAAUUUUGGGUUAACAUUUUAGAGGAUUAAGCCACCCUCAUUCGAUCAAGGUAAGGUGGUGUAUUUUUUGGCUAAAAGUUAAGAAGUGGUUAACUUGAUUUGUCAAUUAACUAACUGAAGUUUGGAAUGAAUGUAGGUUGGUGCUCAAGAGUUUUUGGCAAGUGUUCGCAAACAAGUGUGUAUAUAGCCUGAUCUGACUGUAACACGACAGAAGCCGAAAAGCUGAGAAUACGGUAGUUGAGGCCACAUGGGUGUGCAAAUGAUCAUAUGGUGAACCGAGCCCACAAAAUAUGGUGUUAGACUGUAAAGGUCACCGUGAGCGUUCUUAUACUCUUGGGCUGUUAUGGGCCUCGUUCGACUGAAAUGGGUCGUGUGGGCCCAAAAGGCUUGUGGGCCCCACACGGAUAAAAUUCACAUUAAGUGGUAAAUACUGGAUUGAGCUAUGUAGUUCACAUAACCGUGACUAAAAUUGGGCUAAAUAGGCCACACGAGCGUGUGGGCCCACUUAGGUCGAAUAUGGGCCUUGGGCCUAUUCAUACCGUUAUGACCAUUUAGGUUAUCUAUGUCGCUCGAGGCAACUGUAGACCUUCGAAAAGGUUGUUAAAUGACUGAAAUACCCUAGUAAGAUAAAAUAACCAUAAUACCCGUAGAGGGUAAAUGACUAUAGCCCAUCAAGGGUAAAUGACUGAUUUGUGCUAUGGUUUGAUUGACUUAAAUGUGAACGAUAUGACUGAUUUUGAGCAUGGCAUACUACAUACACGACAUCCGGCAUGGGGUUGGGAUCUUGUAUUGGAGGAAGUGAUUGAUAUGUGAGGGUCGCAUGGGUCGCACGAGACGACUGUGGACCCACCAAUGGCUUUAAGUCGAUUAUGUGAUUGGCAGCUCUGCUGUAAUAUUGGUCAGUGCUGCAACCGGUGCUACAUAAGGAGUGUAGGGAUGGGUGGGUCGAUUUAAUCCCCACAGGAGUGUAGGGUUAGACAAGAGACGGAGCGUAGGGUUGGUAUGGCUAUUUAUGCAUUGCAUAUACUGAUUCUGAUAUUGAGAUGGGCUUAGGCCUAUAUAUAUGUGAUAUGUUCCAUUUGAUAUGGGCUCAGGCCCAACCAAGGCUGAUGGGGUCUAAGGCCCAAUUGCCACUGUUACUGUUUUAGGUUAAGGCCCACACUGUAUUGUUACUGUUAAGGGCUCAGGCCUAGACUGAUUCUGUUUUUGUAUACUGGCUGUUUCUUUAUUAAGGGGAUUACACACUGAGUUUUCGUAAAGUCAUCCCGUUUUUAACCUUUCAAGUAAUCCCCAACGUUAGACGGUUCGGAGCUGCUAGAGACUCGGAGAGGGCCACACAACUGCACAUGUUUUAUUCUGUUUUGCUCAUUUACUUAAGCAAUUUGAUUUUGAUUCGGGUUGUAAUAAGGCCUCUAAAAUUUCGAGAUUUUAAAUUUUGGAAUUGAUGUGAGUGUGAUUUAUAUCUACUAGAAGUAGAACACGGUUUUCCAAAUCAAUAACUGUUUUCUAACAUUACGUUUUCGAACCUCAAUUUUUAAAUAUCACAUUUUCGUAAAUCAUUUGCUUUAAAUUAAGCUUUUGUAACAAUAAGGUUUUGAAGGUAAUAACUUUUAAUAAAGCUCGAUUGAAAAUAAACAAACGCAAACUGAGGUUUUAUACAAAUUUUAAAUGGAAAGAAGUUUGAAAUUUUCAAGAAGAGUUUUUAAUAAGAACAUGGGUUUUGAAAAACACUUCAAUUUGACACGCCAGAUUCGGGCCUAACUCGUAGGCCGAGUUUGGUGUGUUACAUAUGUAUUAAAAUUUUAUAUAGUCCACUUGGUAUGAAUUGUGUAGACGGAAGUUACAUGUUUGAGUACCAUUUGAGACAUGUUAGUAUGGUUGAUUGAAUUUAAUUGAGUUGUGGUAUUUAGCAUGUUUUGCAUUGAUUAUAUGUAGGUUGAUGGGUGUUUAUAAGCAUCAUUGUGUUUUAUGUUGGGUUGAGCAUGAAAAAGUACCUAAAAAGUGAAAAUUUUGACCUUUUGGCAAAAUUUAUCAAUACCACAUGUAAAGGUAUCGAUGUUUUACCAAGUUACCAUGAUUUAAAAAUGACGAAAUGCCAAUUUGGUAUUGAUACUAAGGUAAGGUAUCGUUACCUAUUAGAAAGUGUCAGUACAUUGAUCCAACUAUCGAUACCUUAUGAUAUUAAUUAGAUUUUUUUAAAACAUCGAAGCUUAAAAUUGUAUCAGUACCUAGGAUGGGUAUUGAUACUUGUACUGAGAUUUAAAAAGUUUGCAAUUUAGUCCUUAUUCAUUCCCGGGUCUACUAUAGAGCUUUCGUAAGCUCAAUUAAGGCUUAGAUUUAAUUUUGUAUCUUACUAUCUAGGUAUUUGUGAUAUGGUUGAAUAUUUGAAUGAUAUAUUUAUGGUAUACUUGAUCAGAAAUUUUAAAACUGUUACAAAAAGAUCCCUAUUUGAUCUCGGGUUGACUCUAAAGCAUUCGUAUGCAUAUAUAAGACCCAAGAAAAAAUCUUCAUGUUAUUCAAUGUUGUAUUAUUGAUUAAUUUCAUUAUUGAUAAAGUGAAAUGAUGUUUGUACUGUGUAUUUAUUAGUAGUUGCUCCGACAACGAAUGUGACACUCUGUUGCUCAGACUUGGCGAUCGAGUCAGGUAAGGGGUGUUACAUAAUUGGUGUGGUGUAGUUUACCCAAGUAUCCAAGUCUAUUUUACUAGGGUUUCAUCGAGCAUAACAUUAUAUUUGAAAUUGGAAAACUUAAAAAGGUAAUGAAAUAGAUUAAUAAUAGAAUAUAGUACCGAAAUGAAUACGAAUGAGUUGAUAGACUCUAGAAAGAGGUCCGGACAAUUUGUUAAAUGGGUUUUGAUAUGAAAGGAACUUGAUAUUGAAUAUCAUAAUGAAUUAAUUAUGAAUGUUUUAAAUUGUGAAUUGGUAUUGAUAGCUAAAGGCCUUAAGAUAGGUUUUGGUAUAUGUAAUUGGAUUUGAUCAUUCUUUUGCCAUAUAGAAUAUGAAUUAGUAGGGAUUGAGAUUAUAAGUAUCAUAGCAUGUUAUUAACAUUAUUUUAUGUUCUAUUAUCUUAAAUCAUGAAAGAAUCACUAAGCUUUAUUGCUCAACGUACGAUUGUUUCUUCUAUGAACAGGUGUAGAUAUUUAUCGAAGUCCCGAGAAUUGAAGCCAGCAUCCAAAUUGCAUUUUUUACUCAACAAAGUUUGUAUAGUUCAUUCAUUUUGGUUUUGUGGCAUGUAUCUAGGGGCUUUUAGUUAAAUGUUUCAAAUGGUUAAAUUGAACAUGACAUGAUCUUAUUCAGAUGUUUAGAAAUUAUGUUUGGAUAUGUUCAUAUAGUUGGUUUGAAGUCUUAAAGUUAAAUAUUAUGCAUUUGAAAUAGUUUUAGUGUAACAACCCAAUUAUAGUGGUGUCGGAAAUAAUGGUUUCGAGACUACGACACUGAAAAAUGAGCUAUUAUUUUGCUAUUUAUUUAAUGUCUAUAGGAUUAAUUAAGGUAGUAUUUUAUUUUUGUUAUGAAAUUUUAAGGUUUAAAUGGUUAAUUAGGUAAAAAUGACUAAAUUGAAAAAUGUGCAAAAGUUGAAUUCUAUUAGUUAAAAGGACUAAAUGGCUAUGGAAAGGAAAGUUAAUGAACUUAAAUGGUAAUUAUACCAUGCUAUAUAUUAGUGGAUGUUUAUGGAUAGAUUUUAAUGAAAUGUUAAUAGUUUUAAAAGUUAAUAUGAUAAUUUGAUAAUUAAAUUAAAGGUUAAACAAAGAAAAAGGAAAGAGGUUGUGAUCUUUCUUAUUUUUCCUAUUCCAAAACUGAAAUAUCCAUUGUUGAAAGAAAGAAAUAUUCGGCCAAGCUUCUUUUGAUGCAUGGAAUAUGAUUUUGAUUUCGUUUUUAAUGAUAUUUAUGUUUUUGAGCUUGUUUUAGCUUAGUCUAGCUAGCCCAGGGGUUAAUUUGCAAAAAUAUUAAAGUUUGAGGGACUUUUCAUAUUUGAAUUUGAAUGAUUUUUUAUGUUAAUUGAUAGAUUAUUAUCCUUGGUUGUUAAACCAAUAUGUUUUGUUAAGUGAUUUUUGGUGAAUUUUUGUUUAUGGAUUAAUUAGUUAAAAUAGUAAAAUUUCAUGGUAACAUUAUGAAAUGAUGGUUUAAGUGGGUUGAUAUGGGUCCCUAAGAAGUUUGGCUAGCAUGUAUGGAAGGUUAAAAUAGUUAAAUUUGAAGUUACGAGCUGAAUGACUAAAUUGUGAUAAAGUUAAAAUAUUAUAGGUAAUUUCGUAAUUUUACAUUAAUAUGAAUUAUUGAUUGAAUUGAAUACUUGAAGUUAUUUGAAGUACUUAAUUGUCUAUUUAGAUUAAGAUAAACAACAACUGGACUUAAAUCGGGGAAAAGUUAAGGCUUUAGACUAAACUUCAAUUCUACAACUAUAGUUAUCGAGGUAACUUCGUAUAAAUUAUAAUCUUAUUAAUGAUAGUUUGAUUAAUUAUCAAAGAUGUUGUGUUAGUUAUAACAUGACUUGAAAAUUCAUGUAUAUCGAUGUUUUGAUAAAUUAACGGAUAAAUAAUCAUGUUUGAACUUUAAGAAUUCUCAGGAUACGUAUGACAUGUCAUUAGGGAUUUCAUGUUCCGGGUGCUGGUCUUUAAUGUCCUAACGAUGGCUGAGGUCCUGCAUUUGUUACGAAUUCUCCAUAGCUCAUGUGAGCAGCAUCGUGUAGCUAAUAUUCUAACCCACAGCUCGUGUGAGCAAGCCUAUUUCACAGCUCGUGUGAGCACUAUUGAAAAGGAAAAGUUACGGUUACAUGGAAAGGCACACUAUGUGUGAGCGUUCUCAAGUAUCCAAUGCAAUUCGAAAUGGUUUAACAGGUAAGUAAAGGAAAUGGCAUGGUAUGUAUACAAUUGGAUAUUGGUUCAUGAUCUUAUGGAAAGGUUAAUGUGAUAAAUGAUGUGUACAUGAAAAUCUACUUAUGAUAUGGUUGAACUUAUAUGUAUCAUGCAUGAACUUACUAACUUGCGAGUUUGAUGAUGCUUAUAUAGGAUUUUACAAAGCUUAUGGUCUUGGUAAUGAUGUUAUGCUUAAUCUAUAAAUUGUGCUUAAGAAUUGUAAGUUAUGUUAGAGUUUAUACGAGCUUACUAAGCACUAGUUGCUUAUGUAGCUAUUUUCCUUUGUUUCGUAGAUUAUCGGAAACUCGAUCGGUUGGAAGUUUGUCGGAGAUCUAUCAUACUAUCUAGCAACCAUUUUGGUAGUUUUUGAGUUAUUUUGGCCAAGGUUAUGAAUGGCAUGUAUAGGACCUUUUUAUAAUGGUAGUUCUUGAAUGUGUUAAUGGUCAAUUUGGUAUGUAUAUGCUUUUGGAGUUUAUGUUUUAUUUAAUGGACUUUCAGUGCCUUGACAAGCUUAAGUCUUUUGGCUAUGUUGCUUUGUUUUGAUUAAUGAUGUUUUGGUAUAAAUGUGGUGUCUUUGAAUGGCAUAUUGGUUAGGUGAAAUAGAUUGAUUGAAUUGAUAUUUAUAUGUGUUUGAAAGAUAUUUAAGUCUGUGCACAAAUGGAAUGGUUGAUUAGGUAUGUUUUAGUCUUGAAAUGGCUUGUUUUUAAGGUCAAAUUAUGGAGCACACGGCCUGGCUACACGACCAUGUGUCACUUAUUAUUUUAGUUUAAAUUUCACAUGGCCUAAGACAUGGCCGUGUGUAUCAAGUCAAUGACUUACACGGCCUAGCACACGAGCCUAUGUCACAAGUUAGAGAUUUACACAGUCUGACGCAUGGCCUGUGACAUGGCCAUGUGAUCUAACUCAGUGAUUUACACGGUUUGAGACACGAGCUGAGAUAUGACCUGUGUCCUUUUAUUCGAUUGUUACACGAUCCAGACUAUGUCACACGGCUUGGCCACACGGCCGUGUGACCAUUGUUUUCAAAUUUUUCAACUUUUUUCCAAAAUUUUUGAUUUGUUUUAAUUUAGUCCUGGAUUGUUUCCAAACUGAUUUUAAAGCCUCGGAGGCCCGAUAUAAGGCCCAAAUGUAUAUGUUUUAUUGGUUUGUAAUAAGUUGCAUUUAAUUAAUAUUAAAUGAUUGUUGUUUGGAUUUGCUUGAUAAUGCUCAGUAACCUUAAUUCGAUGAAGGAUACAGGUUAGAGGUGUUACUUUUUGGUUAGUUUUUGGAGUAUAAAUUAUUGAAGUUAGUUUUUAUAGGUAAUGCUUUUGAAGUCUACCAUUUUGGCACAUUUUCACUUAGUAUCAUUUUGUAAGUUGAUGUUUUGGUUACGUGAAACUAAAUAUGUAAGUGUUUUCAGGUCACCCAAACAACAAGCUGAUUUUCAAAGGAAUAGGUUGUCACAUUGUCGUAAUGAGAAAUAGAGCAAGGUUCAGGUUACGAUGACAUAGCCUAAAUUCACGAUGAACCCUAACCAGAGAGUCAUGUCACGAUGAGAAAAUCUUUGAAGAUGCGACGUCAAUUCAAAGUUUCGUAAUCUUUUCAAUUUAAUCCAUUUCAACCCUGGAUAACAAAAGAACUUUCGGAAGCUUGCAUAAGACUCGAAAAUGAUAACAUAAUGUUUAAAGUACAUGAUUUACUUGUAUUUAAUUGUAUAAUGACAUUAAAUUGUAUAUUGUUGAUUGUAGUUGCUUCAACAACGAAUGUGGAUUAUUUAAAUUGUAGAUAAAGUUCUUGAAAGACAUUGUAGCUUUGAUGAACUUUGAGAUUCAACCAGAUUUGAGAGAUUUUGAUCCAAGAGUCUUUGAAACUUGAUCUUGGAUAAUUGAGCUCACUUUAAGGGUAUUCAAGACUUGAUCUUGAAACUAGAACUGAUCUCCUUUUUUUGGAGAACUAAGACUAAAUAGGCACCUUUUUUUUUUAUAGAAUUUAUUAGAACUAGUGUAAAAUUCUUCAAAAUUCAUUCAAAUUCUUCUAUUCAUUUAAAGACUUCAUUUUUCGAAGAGAAUUUCAAAAUCUUCUGUUCAAGAUUUUGAAUACGCAUUUUUGAAAUUUUGAGCUUGCAUUGAAUGUCUUGAAGGUGACUCUCUUAUAGUGCUAGUGAAUUAAGAAAAAGUUUUUAUAGAAUAUGGCUUCUCCUCAGAGAUUUAUCCUUUUUUAUUAUAUAUUUCUUAAUUUAUUUAAUUAGAUAUAAAAUAAACUUUAUAUAAUAUGACCUAUUUAUAAAAGAGUUAUAAAAUGAUUUAAUUUCUUAAUGUAUCUAUUAAUUAAUUUAAUUAUAAAUAAAUAAUAAAUGUUUAAUUUUAGUUAGUCAAAAUUUUCUUUGAAAAGACAAAAAAAAGCUAAAGUAAAUGUGUUUAUUUUGUUUUUUUAUAUAUUACCCAUAACCCCAAACCCUUCAAUUGAAAGAUAAUAUGAAUUUAAGCACGCUUGAACACAUUCUUUUGGUUGUUGCAACAAUAAUGAUGCUAACUGAACUAAGAUUGAAUUACUAAGGCUUUGCUAGGUAGAGUGGAAAGAAAAUUAGAAAAAUGGAAGUUGAAGGGGUAGAAAACUAGAAGGAUGGAAAACAUAUUUUUUUCUUUUCAUAGGUUUGCUUGGUACGAGAGAUGGAAAAUGGAAAUGAAAUGUAAUUUCCAUCCAUUACUUGGUAAAGUUGGAAAAGGGAAGGAAAAAAAUAAAACAUUUGAAAAACACAUAAUUUUGAACUAAUAUGCACAUCUCCCUAAUUUUCUAUCCUCUCAUGAUUCCAAUUUGGAAGAAGCAUUAGGAUGGAAAAUGGGCAUCCCACCUAUUUCCUUUCCUCUCACUUUUCUUUCCAUCCAAGCACACCCAAAAUUAAUUUUCCAUCCACUUUUCCUGUAACGCCCUAAAAAUUCUGAUAUGAUACAGGGCAUAAUUUUGAGCUUGAAUAUCGAGAAAAUUAUGAGAAAAUUUAUCGAAUGAAUCAAAUGAGAUUUUAUGAAAGAAUUUUGAUAUUGGAGAUGGAAGCAAGUGAAAAGAAUCGCAGAGGUGAAAAUAUGAUAAAAGGACCAAAUUGCAAAUUUUGAAAAGUAUGAGGACUAAUGUGAAAAAUAUUUGAAUAUGUAAUAUAUUAUUUUUUUUGGAUUAUUUGACUUGAAAUGGAUUGGAAUAUAAUUUGGUGUGAUGAAAUCAAUUUUGGGACUAAAUUGGAAAUUUUGAAUUGUACAAGGAUUAAAUUGUAUUUUUCUCAUUUUUUGUCGAGAAAAAAGCCAAAGUGAGAUUUUCAUUACUCAUGGAGUUAUAAUAAAUACUUAUGAUGAAUUAUUAACUUGAAUUGGUCUAAUUAUAGAAUUUUGAGAAGAAUCACUAAAAAGGAUUUAAAAAAAGGGUAAAAUGGUAAUUUGGUCAAAAAAGUAAUUUGGUCAAUUCCCGAGACUUUAAUUAUGGAAAUAAUAUUUAAAUAUUAUAUUUGGUAUCCAGAAUCAUUUUAAAUCAUUUGAACAUCGUAUUAAAGAAAUGGACUUCAAAUUGACAUAAAAUGAAUGAAACAUGCAAACUUAGGCCCAAAGCCCAUUUGUUGGUAUUCUAAAGAUGGGAAAGAAACCCAUCAACUCAUUCUCUUCUUCUCCAACACCAGCAGUAGUAUAGAAGCUUCCACCUUUCAUUUUCUUUUAAAAAUUUUCACUACCCACUUCUAUCAUCAAUUCUAUCAUUCUCAAUCCAAGGUUUAUGGGGGUUCUAGUGAGAAAUGUUGAUGUUAGUGUGAGAAAGCUUCAAGUAAGGUAAUAUAAGGCUUCCUAUAUUUCUAUUAGCUUGAUAUUUGUUAAGAAAUUAUAUUAUUUUUUGAAUAUCUUUUUGUUGUAUGGAAAUGGAGAGAUGUUGAUUCAUGGAGUUCCAAGCUUGUUUUAGGAUGGAUUGAAGUACAUAGAAACUUGAUUUAAGUGUUGAAAAUCAUUCAUCAAGGUAAGUAUCAUGAAUACUUAUUUUUCUCCUAAGUUAGUAAGCUUAGGAGUAAUGUUAUAAUUAAGUGUUUAAUGAUGCUAAUAUUAGUGUAAAAUUCCAUGACAUUAAGAUAUGAAAUAACACAUUUAAAUGUGAAGUUAUAAUUAUACGGCCAUGAAGUGCUUUACUAAUUAAAAUUAUGACAUGAGAAUUUUGGGUUGCCAUGUAGACAUGUAUGAACCAUGUCACUAUUAUGAAAAGAUUAGAUAAGACCAUUACAGUAAAAAAAAAUCUGAAACAGUUGUAAAAUAUAUGGAAAAAUCUAUUAAAAUGCUUACCUUGAAAUUAAGUUAAUUUCAACCGACUUAUUAUCAUUGAUUUUAAUAUGUUCUUGUAUAUUAUUGUUCACAUGUUUGUAAAAAUGUGGUUUUGGACAUGUUAUUCAAAAUGGGUUAAUAGUAUGGAACUUAUUUUAUAAAUGGUUUUGAUUAAAGUCUCUUUACAAAUAUGUAAAUGAAGCUUUGAAAUUUAUUGAGGUGGCAUAAUGCCAUGACUGAAAUUAUUAUUUUAUGUUAUAGAUAUUAAUACCACGGACACAGUGGUUAAAUUAUAAAUUUACUUGAAAAUCAAGUAUUGUUCUGGUAAUUCUAAAAUGAGGCCUUAGUAGCUUAGAUAAAUAGUUCAAGAUACGAUUGAUAUGCCAAUAAGGGGACAUCUAUUUUUGAUUGUUAGGAGAUACGAUUUCAACCGUGAUUAGCCUUUGGGCGUAGCACUUCGAUGUGCACUAUUACUGCACUACUUUGGUCUUCGGAAUUAGCGCUACGACGUGUUACUAUUACUCUGGUGUGUUGGUUGGUUAGUCCCUUGUUUCCGAUUAUGAUUUCUCUAAGUUUACUAAGGGCUAAAAAUAACUAGUUCCGAUUCUGAGAUUAAACUGAUUUUGUCAUUGUAUGAAUGAAUUCUAAAAAAAAUUAGAUGCUAUUAACACUACUUUUAAAUGAUUUAUAAACCAUUAUACAAAGUUCGAAUUUUUGUUUAAAAGGGUAUUAAAUGUAAAAAAACGGAAUGGGAAAGUAAGCUUUGAAGAAAGUGGUGUAAUGAAACAUCUAAACAAAUUGUGGUAUGAUUGAAACCUUUAAUGCGCUAUUAAGGUGAGUUAAUAAUCGUGUAAGUCCUUAGGGAUAAAAAUUAAAAAAUGAAAGAUAAGAUUCAUAAAUGAAUUAAAUGUCAAAAUUGUUAAUAAAUUAUCAACAUAUAAGUUGAGACUUAACUUGAAAACUCACAUAAAAUGGUUAAAAAUAGUGACAAUGUGGCUUAAAAAACUUAAAAUGAUUAUUCAUCUAAAGGGCUCAAGGUUUAUAAAGGCUUAGGAUAAAGUUUAAUUGUCCUUGUUACUUACUAAGCUUUAUAACUCACACGUUAGUUGUUUAAAAUGCAUAGGUACAAACUUACUGAGAAGUUGCUAUGAUAGCUAGGGAGAAUUGCAACACCCGACGAUCCUAUAAGGUUGCUUUUCAAAUGUUAAAAUAUAAUUUAUAUUAUAUUAGUGGCAUGUAUACUAAGUCACGUGAUGAAUUUGGAGAUUGUAAUGGGAACGGCAUGUACUUAAGGCAACAACAUGUAUAAAUAUGCUUUAUAUCAUAUGUAAAUAGUACUUGAAACUUGGGUUAUGGUGUAGUGGUUGAAGGCUUAAGAAAUUAGUUAAAGUUUAAGAGUGUGAAAAAUUGUAAUGGUGUAGUGGUUACAGUACCGCCUGAGUAGCUCCUUGUCGAACAUUCCUAUAUUUUACAAAUUAAGUAACAUUCCUAUAUUUUACAAAUUACAUAGUUAUUUGUUUUAAUUGGCGCUAUAAGGUUUUUGAACUUUGUUUUGAAAGCAUAAAACUCAUUCUGAAUAGAAUUUAAAUAUUUUUCUAUAAUUUUAUAAAAAUGUUUUAUCAUUUUUAUUUUCUUAAAUAAAGUACUGAUUUUGCUCCAAAAAUUUUCCAUUAGUGUCACACUUUCGUACCGGCCAUCAAUAUAAGCAAAGGGCGUUACUUUUUCACUCCCUCCUCCCAUCCCUCCACUUUUUUACCCAAUCAAAUAGACCAUAAACAUGCUCAUUAUAUUGAUCAACCAACGUAGUUGAAUCCCUCAAAUCAACAUAGAUAGAAUAUACUAACAAUUAAGGUUACAAAUCUAUAUACAAUGAUUAAAUUUCAAACUUCUUUGAACUCUACAUUAAAAUUCAAUUUAUUGGAUCUGCAUACUUUCUAGAUAAAUCUAGAAUUGAACCAACCUAGAGUUAAGUAAACAUGAUUUUCUUUUAUUUUUAGUGUGUUCAAAUAAUCUUGAUUGGGAGAUAAAAGAAAUGAGUUACAUGCAGGGACGGGGUUAGGAAAUUUGGAUUGUGGGGUCAAUUUUUUUAAAAAUUAAAAUGUUUAUAAAUGUCCUAUAAAUUAUGGCAUAAUUUUUUUUUUGUUAUUCUUCUCUACUUCACUAGUAGACUUUUUAAAAAAACAAUGUUUUGCUAUUUUUGUUAAAGAACAAACAUAUCUAAGCCUUAAACAUAUAAAUGUUUUCAUGAAGUCAACAUACCACUAGUAAUUUUCUUUCACAAAAAUAAAUAUUACUUAAAUGCUUUUUAGUGUCAUAAGAAUGCAGUAUAUCAAUUUUUGAAACAAGAGAUUCACACUAAUCAAACUAGCAACAAUAACUUUUAAAUGAAAAUUCUAAAUUUCUAAUCAAUCGUGAUUUUUUUUCAAGGGUUUGUAUUAAUUAGUCUUAAUUUCCUCAAGGUUUAAAAAUUCUUCCACAAUCACGAGGUUAGAAAUCUCAUACAAAAUCAAUAAUACCAAAAUCAUUCAAUAAAUAAAAAACUAAAUCUUGCAUAAAAAAAAUACUAACCUAUAGUAAAAAAAAGCCACAAUCUUAAUUUUUCAUAAAUUAAUCAAUAAUGCAUGAAAAGAAAAGAAAAAAGAGUUAUCACUAAAUUGGAAGACCAAGAUGAAAGUCUUGAAAGAUUCACCUAUCUUUUUAAAAUUUUAGAGAGUAAGAGAAUAAAAGAAAUUUGAUAAAAAAAUAUUAAUGUUGAAAGAAAAUAAAAAAUUAAGGAUUGUUGGGUUUUAGUGAUGAGGAGAGAUUUAUUUAUUUUUAUAUAAAAUAAUUUUUUUUCAAAAAAUUUAGUGGGUACUUUUUCAAACUUUUGUGAGAUCAAUUCUUUUAUGGGGACAUUUUCAAAUUUUUUUUUUUUUGAAUUAAUACAUCAAUUAAAUAAAAUCAUUUUAAAAAAUUUAAAGGUAAUAUUUUUUAAAUUUUUUUGUGGGGCCAAUUGACCCGUAACCUUGAACGUGGCUUCGCCCCUGGUUGCAUGCGACAGAACCAAUAAUAAACUGUUAACAAAACUUGGUGAUGAAAGUUUCAUGAUACUUGAUUAGAAAAAGUGACAGUGUACUUCUUCUUUAGACAUUUACUUAAAUAUUAUUCUUGGGUUGAAUAGGAUACCUUUAAAUUAUAUAUGCGAAAAGAUGUAUUUAUAUUGGUGUAAAAUUUAAGUAAUUUUAUGCCCUUUUGUUAUCUUUUAUACGAAUAAUAUUUUAACAAUUCAACCAUCAUAUUUUAUGUUCCAUCCAUGUAUAUCAUGCAUGUUGAGUUUGGCAUAAAUAAAUUAUUUGUUUUAUAUAAAUAGCUUUCAUCUGUUAAAUAUAUAUAUUAAUAUAGACAAUCUUUUAGAAUUGAUAUAAUAAUAUAUCAUAUCAAUUCAAAAAUUUACAUAUAUAUAUUGAUAAAUUCAACGACCAAAUUGUUAAAAGAACAAUCAUAUACAAAAUUAUGAAAAAAUAUAAAACUACUUAAAUACCUCCCUUAUAUACUUAAUCUUUGACCCGGUAAACUAUUAGGUAAAAGGACUGCGUCCCCCCAUAUGACAAUUCGUACCCUUUUUUAAUCUUUGAUUGCAUAAUCUUUAUUUUUCUAAGGCAAUUUGGUAUGUUUACCAAGUUAAGGUGUUGUUUUCAUCAUUAAACCACUCCCCACUCUUUCUUAAUUAGACAAAAAGGAAGACCAAAAGAUGAAAUCAAUUGUCAUAAUCACGCUAUUGCAGUUAUAAUUAAGAUUUUUAGAUAUAAACACUGUGGUCUAUAAAUUGUUGGGAGGAUUAAAGUAAAAAAGAAAUGGUUAGAAAGGUCUAAAUUGAAUUAUUAAGACUAAAAAUGAAAUUGCAUUGUUUUAUACAAAGAGGCAAGAGGGGUUUGUGCUCUUUGGAUUUGCCCCCAUUUCAAUAAAACCUAGUUCAACCAAAAUAGAGCCAUUAGAUACUUUAACUGUGAUUUAGGGUGCAAUUUUAAUUAAAGUUUUUAGGAUUCAACCGAGUUAAAUUAAAUAUAUUAAAAAUAUUUUGCUUUAUAUUAAUCGAUCCAUUUCCAAACUCCUUCAUAACGUAAAGCAUAGAAUUAUAGCAUUAAAUUAGUCAAUAUAGGUACAGUUGAACAAUUCACGCCAUGAACGUAUACUACACCUAUUCCAUUUACCCCACAUGUCUUGGUCAAUGUUUUAUUAAUCAGAUAAAUUCUGAAUAAUUUAUUUAAAAAUUAAUUUAACUCUUAUAUUAAAUUUGAUAUAUUAAUUGAUUUUUUAUCUAAUUAAUUCGAUAGGAUGAUUUAAUUCGAUUUAGAUGGAGAAAAAGGCACUCUAAAACCCAACGACCCCAUUAUAUAUAACAGUUACCUAGUCCACCAUAAAACCCUUCACAAUAUGGUGCCGCUUAACAAACAGCAACUCUACAACUUAAGGGCCCUUUCAACAUUUCCAAGCAUAAUAAAAUCCUGUAGUUUCGUAUCCUUUCUUUAGCUUUGAUUCACUCUUCGUUGCCGUCAUAUGGGUAACUACUUUAGUGCUUUCAUUUGUCGUCCAUCAGAUAUUGCUGUUGUCGGGAAAGUGAUUCUUAGGGACGGGACGAUUCAGGAGUUUAGCUGGCCAUUGACGGUGGCGGAGCUGAUGCUGGAGCAUCCACAACAAGUGGUGGUAGAAUACCACGCGGCUGUUAACGAGAAGAAACCCGUUCCCUUACCGGCUGACCAUAAACUCCACGUGGCAAAAGUUUACGUAAUGCUGCCGGUGAAGCAAGGGAAACCAACCACGUUGUCGUCCGAGGAAGCUCGCUGGGUUCUGGUGAGUGCCAACGCCGUUUUGAGAUCGAAGUCGAGGUUCUUUCCUUUGUUUUCCAGGAUUUGCCCUGCAAAUCAUAUGCAAGUGAUGGGACAAAAAUCGCCGUUGCAGGGGAAGGGAAACGGCCGCGAAAGACUUGAGGAAGUUGGCAGUUCGACGGAGCUAAUACCGGAAAGUAUGGAAGGGAGGGUGGAGUAUAUGAACAGGCAAUAUUCCGCCAAGGGAUGGAAACCAAGCUUGGAUACUAUAAAGGAGAAGAAGAUUGAGACAAAGGUUCCGCAUUGGUUGUUUUAAAGCUAAUUAAGUACUUCUCGAAACAUACAUGAAAAUCUUAGCUACUAAUUUAGAUUAUUCGUCUUCAUCAUGCAACAGUUUUCGAAAUAUUACAUGGAAAAAACACUAGCUAAUGUUGGGUCUUCUUCGAUUUCUUUGUAGAAACAAUUAAAAAGUGUUUUUUGUUUGAGGAACUAGUUUUUAUUUUUAUAUAAACAGAGAGUUUUAAAUAAAUAAAUUUUGAAGCUUUGGUGGAUAACCUUGUGAUAAACUAUAUGAUGGUCGGUAGAUUGAUUAAAUUGAUUCAGUUAAAAAUUUAUUCAAAUUUUAUAAUUUUUUUUAAAAAUCCGGUUAAAUUAUAUACCAAGAUGCUGAUAGAUAAAUUAAAUUAGCUCAACAUAGAACAUAUGAUUUAUGCUUAUACAAGGCUUCCCGCUAGGGAAUCAGUUUAUAUUAUGUAAUUAGUUUAAGUACUCUUUUUAUCAUACGAAUGUAUUAGGUUUUAGAGGUUAUAAGUUGGAUGGAUUUAAUAAGGUAAUGAAUAUUCAUGAAUUUUCUAAUUGAAAAUUGUUAUAAUAAAAAUUAAUUAACAUCGGCAAAUUAGCGGAGUUUAUAGAAUUUUUUUUAAUAUUAAUUUCAUUAUAGAUUCUUAAUAUAUCUGUUUAUAUAUAUAUAAAAAGUUUAGAACUAUCCAUAACUUCUCCCCAACUCUUAAAUAAGAGGAUAAUGUGCUUCAGCGCACUCACACCCAUGUCCUCCUGUACUGACAACAAUACCGAUGUUAAUCAAGUUAAGACUCAACCAACCUAUUUAACAAAGGAAUUAAACAUUAAUCACAUUCAAUCUUUAAUUUGAAGUUAGUUUUUUAUCAUUAUUUAUACAAAGUUUAAUUAUUUUUCAAUUGAAGAUGAAAUGAUAUAUAUAGAAAGGGUGACGUUCACGAAAUAAUUAAACACCAAAUAUGAUAUGAUAUGAAAUUAAGGAAGUUAAAACUCAGCUAUCAAGUGUUCUGGUUAUGUUAAUCUAUUUUAUAGUUAUAAUACUGAAUGAAUUUCACUUGAUUUAAAGGCAUCAAUUUAUUUGAUAAAUGACAAUGUAUACAAUUCUAAAACAAAAUUAAUUCACUUCAUAAUGAUUUGUUGUGGUUAUUUAAUGAUUUAGUAACAUAAUUAAAAUUUUGAUUAAGUUUAUUAUUAGGAAUCAAGUCACAUUAAUUUAAUAAUAAAAUUACAAAUAAAAAUUUGUUGAGGAGAGAUCACUCUUUUUUUUUUUUUGAAUUACAAAAGGAGAGUAAAGCCCUAACAGCAACGUGAUUAGCGCGACUCGAAUUCAGGCCACACCUGGGGCGGUGAACACCCUGACCAUCAAGCUAACACACGGGGUUCAAGAGAGAUCACUCUUUGGGUCAGUUUCGGACCUUCAAUAGAGGUAUCAUCCCUAAGUUGUCUAUGUUUGGUUUUAGUCUUGGGUUUUGUUUUCCUACUUCGAGGAGAGCCCAAAGGGGUUCACUGAGUGUAGGGAGUAUUUUAGUCUUGGUGAGGUUCGAACCUAUGCCCCUAAAGAGUCUUAGUAGGUAAGCACACUACCACUUGGCUAGGGCACUCACACCAAACUCUAUGAACCCCUUUGAGCUCUUCUCAGAGUAGGAAGAUAAAACUCGAGGCUAAAACUGAGCAUAAAUGUCCCAAGAAGAUUUCCUUGUUAAGGGGAGAUCGCUCUUUGGGUUGUUCUUGGACCCUCAACGGAAGUAUUCUGUUCGAGGUGUUUAUACUCAGUUUUAGCCUUGAGUUUUGUCUUCCUACUCCAAGGAGAGCCCAAAGGAGUUCACAGAAUUUAGCGAACGUUUAAUCUACCAAGGAAACAUUUUAGCAUUUUGGCCUUAGUAGAGUUAAAAUUUGUGCCCUUAAAGGGUCUUACUAGGUAAGAACCCUACCACUUGACUAGGCUGCUUCUAUCAAGCUCUACGAAUCUCUUUGAGUUCUCCUCAAAAUAAAAAAAUAAAAAUUUAAGGACAAAAUUAAAUAUAAGUACAUAAGAAAAAUAUCUCCUUUUGGAGUAUGAGAUGGAUAAAAAAAGCAGCCUCCCUCAACAAAACUUAAUUAUAAAAUAAAAAUUAUAUACUUGUAAGGUUGUUUACUUACAGACAAUUUUAUUAUAAUUUAAUUAAAUAAUAUUUUAUCCUAAUAAAUAAAUAAGAAUGUAUGGUGACGAUGGUAUUAUAGACCAUCAUUAAAGUUAAACCUUAACUUUUAAUAGGUUUUUAUUUUUCACCCACAUCCUUCCAAUAAUUAAUAAUUACGCAUGAAGGAAGUGAGAGUCAUAUGAUAUUAGCAUUAUUUGAGAAAUUAAACCAACGAAGCUUUAACAUUAUAUUUGUUGAUGAAUGUGGAAGUUCUGAGAUUUUGAGUGUUCAACUUAAUAUUUAAUAAUAGGGACAUAAUCAGCGGAGAGGAGGGCAAGCAGGGGGACUUAUUUCUUCUUUAGCUAAAUUAAAACAUUAAAUUUUAGUCUUUUUAGUUUUUUAUUAAAUAGAAUAAUUGCAUUUUUGGCCCUAUGAAAAGUUAAUAAUUUAAUCUAAGUUUUUUUUAUAAUACACAACUUUAGCCCGGGCCCAUGCAGAUUAAAUAAACAAAAAAAUAAAACCAAAUAAAAUAAAAUUCAGUCCAUUGUCCAUUUACACCCAAAAUAAACCCAAGAUCUUAGCCCAAUUACAUAAAUAAUUAAAACCCAAAUAACCUAAACCCUAGCCCAACAAGCAGCCCAAUACACCCAACAUUUUCAGCAGAGAGAAAAACAAAAAACCCUAGGUAGCCGCAAGCCUAACAGCAACCAAGUGCGCUGUCGUCGCCGCCAUUUACGCGCCACACCUCCACGUUGACUGGCCACGUACCUGCAAUUCAGCAAACAAGGAAGCAAGCAGCAAAAAGAAAGGGACUAAUAGCGAAAUGGAAGGAAAGAAAUAUUAUUAUUAUUUUUUAUAUAUCUAUUUUCCUUUUCGUUUUGGCUAUAAAAAGCCAAUUAAAAUCUAUAAUAGGGGGAAGACGCACAUAUUGUUUUAAGAAAUUACAAAAAGAAAAUGAAAAGGAAAGACUGAGUUUUUUUGUUGGAGGUGAUUUUUUAAAAGUUUUUCUUUUUUUUUCUGUUGUUCUGUUCUUUUUUUAUAUAAGUAUGAAACAAAAUAAAAAGGAGGGUGAUUUAGUUUCUUUUUCAUGUUUUCUUCUUUCUAUUUCGAUCUCUAUUUCAUGUCUUUGAAAUAAUAGUAAAAGAGGGGAGGAGUUGUUUACCUUUUGAUCGGCGGCGUCGUUGUGCUGUGUGGGAGAUGUUUGUAAACGGCGCAGAGAAAGGAAAGGAGCUAUUAAGUUUUUUCUCCUUUGCUUUCUAAUGGCCGAAUGAUUAGGGUUUUUUUAGAUUUAUGAUAAUUUUUGAAACAACACUGUUUGGACUUUAUGCCAAGGCUCAAUGGCUUAUUUUCACUUUUGGUCUUCCUGUUUUACAAUGUUUUUAAAUUACUUUUUUUAUUUCUUGUAAAUUUCGCAACGCAUUUUAUUAUUGUUUCAAUUUAGUCCAAUACUGUGCAGUGUUUUGGGAGGCUUGGGUAAAUUGCUCCUUCGUUCCUCCUCCUGUUGCGCGUGUUUUAAAUUGCUCUCUUUCUUGUUUUAUUUUUGAAUUCAUCCUUUAAAUUCUGUUUGUUUUCAACUUAAUCCUUAAUUUGUUAUUUUAAGUUUUUUUUUAUUAUAUUAUUAAUACUGUUUAUUAGUAUUAUUAUUACUAUAUUAUUAUUAGUUUUUUUAUUUAUUAUAUCAUAUAUUAUUAUACCUACAUAUAUAUAUAUGUGCAUAUGUAUGUUAAUAUAUAUAUGUUUAUUUUAAACGUUUUUAAAUACAUAUGCAUAUUAUGUAUAUAUUUUAUUAUUAUUUUAUUUUCAUAGUUUUUAUAUAUUUUAUAUACAUUUAUAUUUUAUAAUAUUUAUAUUUUCAUAUUUUAUAAUUUAUAUAUGUUUAUACAUUCUUUGUAAUAUAUAUAUGUACUUUUUAGAAUUAUCAUAAGUUUUUUGUUAUUAUUUUGUUUUGAUAUAUUUCAUGUUUUUAUAUAUGUAUACUUAUAUAUAUGCCUGUUUUAAUAUAUGCAUAUACAUGUUUUCAAAAUUUAUUUAUGUAUUAUACUUAUAUUUUGAAAAUACAUAUGUACAUAUAAUUUAAAUUAAAGUAUUUGUUACAUAUCGUAUUAACAUUUUUUUAACAUAUCUUUUAGAAAAUACAUAUUUUGGUUUUGGUAAAACAUUAAAAACAUUUUCUUUUGAUUCAAAGACUUUUAAAAUAAAAGCGAAAUUCAAAGUUCGGAAUUUUCGAGGAAAUUGAGCCCUAACGUAUUGGGUUCCGAUUUUUUUUGUUAAUCCUAAAUAACCGAGAAUAUUCUUUAUUUUACAUAAGUAUAAAAUCAUUUUCGGGAACUUAACUUAUUGCGUCCUAAUGUAUUGGGUGUAACAUAUUGCGUUCUCGAAAUGAAGAUUUUCUUAUAAAAUAAAAGCGAUAUUCAAAGUUCGGGGAUUUUGAGACAUUGUACCCUUCUUCGCAUGACUUGAACAUUUGAUUAUCCUUUUCAGAUUUCAUUAUUGGAGUUUUUUUUUUUAAAUCUUUUUAACCCUCGACACUAAGACGUUAAAUAAUUAAUUUGGUACCGAUUUUUGGACAUUACGAGGGUGCUAACCCUUCCUCGUGCGUAACUGACUUCCGAACUCGUUUUCUCAAAUUUCAUAGACCAGAAUAAUUUUUAAGGUGAGUCGAUCACACCUCAAUAAAGGAUCGGUGGCGGCUCUAAUUUUUGUUUUUUAAAGUCGAUAACUAAAGUUUUGUUUUCAAAAAAUAGUUUCAACAGCUUGACGACUCCGUUGGGGAAAAACACGAGAGUCGAGCCAAAAAUUGAUUAAUUUUUGUCUUAAUGUCGAAACUUUUUUGAGAUCCUUUUGCAUUCAUUAUUUUCUUGCUUAAUUGAUCUUUGCAUUAUACAUUGCAUGAGUUGAAUGAUUUUACCCCUCUAAGUGGGAGUGAGAAACUAGUCUUUCGUGAGGUUUUCACCUCCGUGCAGGAUAGUGGAUUGCUUUCGAGAUACAUUCGUACCUAUGUCUUCGUGAGAUUUUCAUUUCCGUGUAGCUAUAGGGAAGUGUAUCCCCCUGAACUGAACUCGAUCUGUAUGAGCCUAUAAUGGGUGAGGAUCAAGGAAUCUGCUGGUUCAGGUACCCUUACUUCAGAACCGAACCACAUAUAGAAGACCUUAGGAGCACACCCUAGGUAGAGCCACUUCAAAACCCUAGUGAUCACCCGAAUAGACGUUCUAUUUAUUCUUGCUUGCUUUUGCUUUGUACUAACCUGUUUCUUUUUUGUUAUAAUUGCAUUACAUUUUCAUCAUAAAAAAGUGGUGUUGAUUCACGUUCAGUUGCGAAAUAGAGAGCUUGUCAUAAGAAAAUGAGUUUCUUGAUAAAAUGGAAGACAAUAUGGUUGUCCGAAUAUGGUCCAAGAAAACGUGAUAAGAGAAGGAUGAUAGUUUAAUGGAGGACUACACGACUAUGGAUUCAAGAUGAAAAAGAUUAUUCGAGAGCCGCUGAACUUUCUUAAAGAGAAGCCAACGAGCAUCACGAGGAUGAGUGAGCAACGAGUUGCGGCCCGGAUCGAGCAAAAAGGAGAUAGAAGAGACAUCUUUUUGAAGAGUUCGUGAGAUUUAUCUUAACGCUCGAAGAAGAGGAUCGAAUGUCUCCGCCUAUGAGGGCAAGGCCGUAUAAAUAUCCAUUUUAUGUAAAGAGAUUUGUUUUCUAGUAAAGUUUUCUAAAUGGAAUUGAAUCAGAAUCAACGUCUCUUUAUGCAUUCAUUACAUGCAUUCGCAUUACAUGACAUUAUACGUAUUAAAGUCCACUAAAAGAGCCUAAUCGAUUAAAAUCAUUCCUCAGUUAACCUGGAAACCAACCAAUAAACUAAACACCGUUACGGUACUCGGGCGAAAUCAAGAAGUAUGGACCAAAGAUUAGAAAAGCUCGAACAAUUCCAAACAUAAAUGCAGGAUCAGCUUCAGCAGCAAAUGAAUGAGCAGCUCGAGAAGAUUCAGCAGAAUUUGAAGGAAAAAAUGAUGGAAUCUCAAGGGAAUAUGAUGGCUAAGUUGACUCAGUUGCUGACCGGAGAAAUUGAUAAAGGAAAAAACUCUGUGCUUAAUGUUGAAGAAGGAGACAGUGAGGGACCUGUCUAUCCUCCAGGCUUUACCCCUCAGCAAGUUGAGGAAUGUCCGCGUAAAUCCUCUGUCACCAUUAGGCCGCAGCAAUUUCAAGCUAGUGCUUCAAUGCCAAUGAAUUUUCAAGUUGGAUCAGGCUCUAAUCCGAGAGACAACCUUUCAAUACGGCUAUUCCUGACUUCGAUGAAACAGCGGGAAAAGAAAAAGUGAAGGAUGAGUUGCCAAAACAGCUAGAGGAAAAGUACAAAUGGCUGGAAGAGAAAUUUAAAACGAUGGAAUGUGCUGAGAGCUACUAUAGGAUUGAUGCUGAAGAAUUAAGCUUGGUUCCGGAUUUAGUACUCCCUUACAAGUUCAAAGUGCCAUAGUUUGAGAAGUAUAAUGGAACUAGUAGUCCCGAAGCCCAUAUUACUAUGUUUUGUAGGCGGAUAACUGGGUAUGUUAGUAAUGACCAGUUGUUGAUACAUUGUUUCCAGGAUAGCCUCACAGGGGCAGUGUCCAAGUGGUACAAUCAAUUAAGUCGUGCCAAGAUUAAUUCAUGGAAAGAUUUAGCACAGGCAUUCAUAAAGCAGUACAAUCAUGUAACUGACAUGGUACCUGAUAAAAUCACUCUACAAAACAUGGAAAAGAAGUCCGGUGAAAGUUUUAGGCAAUACGCACAGAGGUGGAGGGAGGUCGCCAUCCAAGUUCAGCCACCGCUCCUGGAAAGGGAAAUGACAAUGCUAUUCAUAAAUACAUUGAAAGCUCCGUUCAUCACAUAUAUGUUAGGGAGUGCCACAAAAAUAUUUUCUAACAUAAUCAUGAAUGGUGAAAUGAUUGAAAGCGCCAUAAGGAGCGGAAAGAUUGAUGCUGGAGGAAAUAAUAGAAGGCAAGCCUCAAAAGAAAAAGAAAAUGAUGUGAACAGCGUGAAUAUGUACAGUAAAUCGAUUGCUAAUCAGUAGGGUUCAUCAAGACAAGAAUCAUGUGUGAAGCAAGGUACUGAAAAACUCCAGUUCACGCUAAUUCCAAUGUCGUACAAAGAGCUGUAUCAAAGCUUAUUCGAUGUGCAUGUUGUUUCUCCUUUACAUGUGAAGCCUCCACAGCCUCCGUAUCCCAAAUGGUACAACGCAACUGCACAAUGCGAUUAUUAUGCGGGAAUUACAGGACACUCAAUAGAGAAUUGCAUUACCUUCAAAAAGUUAGUUGAAAAAUUCAUCAACAUGGGUAUUGUCAAGUUGGAUGGCUCAUUUAAUGCAGAAAAUUCGCUACCCAAUCAUGAUUGACAAUGGAGUGAAUGCAAUAUAUGAGGAGAUAUUGGGAAGUGUUCACAUCAAUGACAUAUAGGGAGACACAAAUGAAAGGGGGACCUUGUUAGAUAUCCGCCCUUAUAAAUCUGGGAGUGUUCUAAGUAAUUGAACUGCGGAAGAAAUCCCUAUAAUUUUUAGAGCUUAUUUAGAGUAAUGUUCAGAACAUUUUUGUUGUUUUUAGCCUAAAAAUGAUAGAAAUUCCUUUGUGAAAUAGGCUCAUGUCUGAACGUCGUUAUUCUAAUAAAAUACAUCUUUGCAUUCAUUUUUGAGCCAAUAUUUUUUCAUUCUUUUUGAAAUAAUUAUUUUUUCAUUCUUUUGGAUUUUCUUCCAUGUCAUUAUUUCAUUUAUAAUUAUAUUGUACAAAUAGUUAUUCAUAAAUACAUUCUUUUGUAUAUUCUUUUAUAUUGGGUCUCCAGAUAUCAAUAACAUGAGUGACGCUGCUACAGGCUCAGAAUUUUCUUUUGAGCGAAGCAUGUGUUUAGAGGGAUUUCAUGACUUUGAAGAUAACAUAGAUUGUAGCCUAUUUUCGGACUUGUUAAAGAUGGUAGAACAAGUCGAGAAACGGAUCUUACCCUACAAAGAAUCAUUGGGAUACAUGACUUCUCAUUAUAUAGGGCAUGAAGGUUAUUUGGUCGAUCUUGUCAAAAGAGUCUGACGGCCAUUGAUUCAUCUUUGUGAUCGUCAGUUACUUUACUAAAUAAAUAGAAGCUGCUUCAUAUGCCAAUGUCACAAAGUCGACAGUUAACAAAUUCGUGAAAAAUCAUAUGUCAGUAUGGGACGCCAAAAGGAUUAUAUCUGACAAUGUACUAAAUUUGAACAACAGCAUAAUAUCAAAAGUUUGCAGUUUGUUCACGAUUAAUGCCAUAUUGCCUAAAAAAAUAUGGCGCGAAAAAAAAAACUCUGCCAGGGUAAUGCCUUUCUCUUGGGCCCAUCGCGGUUUUGCCUAUUGAAGACAAAAUUCUUUCUGAGUUUUUGAAUCCAAUUCCGAUUGAAGAGGAAUGUUCAAAGUUGUCCAUCAUGGUCAAAUGAGCCAAAAGCAAAUGAUGCAAGUUCACAAAAAAGAUCCAUCCUAGAGAAUUCCUUGAGAGGAACCUGGUAUUGAAAAAGAUCCUUCCCAUACAAAAAGAACUUCAUCCCAAGCUGGGAAGGACCUUAUGUGGAAGGCCUUAUUUAGAAAAGCGUCGAUUUUGAUCAAAAAGGAUAACAAGGACAUGCAUAAUCCUAUGAGUUCAGAUUCAAUCAAAAAUAUUUCAAAAUAUAAAAAAAAACAAAAAAAAAUAGAGAGAAAAGAAGAAAGAAAAUGGAGAGGCCAAGAUGAAAACCCGCAAAGGGCGCCUUGAAACCAAAGGGGAUUUGAGUUGAAAACCCGAAAAGGGCAGCUCAAAUAUUGAUUAGAAUGGGGCAUGAGAUGAUCAGAGCAGUUCAAAUUUUGAUCAGAUUGGGGCAUAUGAUGAUCUUGAAUCAAUAAGAAAGGGUAAACAACAUCUUAGGACAUCGACAGAGUACUGUAGAUCUCCUAAACACAUGUCAAACUCAGAAAGUUUGUAUAAAGAAGUUCAAGCUGCGAUAUCUGGAGCAUCCAAUUUUUAUAUUGAAUUUGCUAUUCUUGGAAUAAUUCAUGCUUUUCCAAUAUACACAUUCCCAAUCAAUUUCUUUGUUAUCCUUAUUUACUAUUUUUUUGAUAAUCUAUUCCUUUCGAGCUAUGCUCAGAACCAAUUGUAUUCUCAUCCAUUGUUAUACCCUUUUUGUAAGUAUGUUGCAUUGGAAUAAUGAUUAAUAGACUAAUAAAACUUUCACAAGGGAAGUUUGGCAUAUUACUCUAGAAGUUUCUAAAUAAUACAGGAACCUGAAACAGAAUUAUUGUUUAGAACGCACCAUGUUUAAAGGUUGGAAAUCUGAAAAAGAAGAGUCUAAAUUAAGACUUUCUCUUUGGAUUUUGUUGUUAAAAACAUUGACUGAACAAAAUGACAAAGCUUAAAUAAACAACUAAGCAAUGAUCACCCUGACAUUGCAGUGGAGUAGAUUGAAGCACCAGUUCUUAUACCUCUGAAGAUGCAGUAGGAAGGAAUGAAGCUACUUGAAGAAGAAGAGUACCAAGGUCCAGCACGACCGAUCAAAAUUGGUUAUUUUUAAAGUCUUUACUUCAUUCCCGUUUCACGACAACAAACAAAGAGGGACAGCUGUAAUACCCAAUUUUAGCCUGGGCGCAUGCAAAUUAAAUAAAAAAAUAAAACCAAAUAAAAUAAAAUUCAGUCCAUUGUCCAUUUACACCCAAAAUAAACCCAAGAUCUUAGCCCAAUUACAUAAAUAAUUAAAACCCAAAUAACCUAAACCCUAGCCCAACAAGCAGCCCAAUACACCCAACAUUUUCAGCAGAGAAAAAAACAAAAAACCCUAGGUAGCCGCAAGCCUAACAGCAACCAAGUGUGCUGUCGUCGCCGCCAUUUACGCGCUACACCUACACGUUGACUGGCCACGUACCUGCAAUUCAGCAAAUAAGGAAGCAAACAGCAAAAAGAAAGGGACUAAUAGAAAAAUGGAAGGAAAGAAAUAUUAUUAUUAUUUAUAUAUCUAUUUUCCUUUUCGUUUUGGCUAUAAAAAGCCAAUUAAAAUCUGUAACAGGGGGAAGACCCGCAUAUUGUAUCAAGAAAUUACAAAAAGAAAAUGAAAAGGAAAGACUGAAUUUUUUUUUCAGAUCUGAUUUUUUUUAAAGUUUUUUUUUUCUGUUGUUCUGUUCUUUUUUUUAUAUAAGUAUGAAACAAAAUAAAAAGGAGGGUGAUUUAGUUUUUUUUUUUUUUGAGUUUUCUUCUUUCUGUUUCGAUCUCUAUUUCAUGUCUUUGAAAUAAUAGUAAGAGAGGGGAGGAGUUGUUUACCUUUUGAUCGGCGGCGUCGUUGUGCUGUGUGGGAGAUGUUUGUAAACGGCGCAGAGAAAGGAAAUGAGCUAUUAAGUUUUUUCUCCUUUGCUUUCUAAUGGCCGAAUGAUUAAGGUUUUUUUAGAUUUAUGAUAAUUUUUAAAACAACACCGUUUGGACUUUAUGCCAAGGCUCAAUGGCUUAUUUGCACUUUUGGUCCUCCUGUUUUACAAUGUUUUUAAAUUACUUUUUUUAUUUCUUGUAAAUUUCGCAACGCAUUUUAUUAUUGUUUCAAUUUAGUCCAAUGUUGUGCAGUGUUUUGGGAGGCUUGGGUAAAUUGCUCCUUCGGUCCUCCUCCUGUUGCG